AUUAAGCAGGUCAUUUCUACCAAGCCAUAAUGACCACACCAAUGAAACACAGUAGAAGAGCCAUAGUUGCUUAGUUAAUCCUGUAAUCACUGAAUUUUGUCCGGCUCGAUUUCGUUUUUUUUUUAAAAAUUCAAAAAAAGUACAAAAAUAAAAAAAAUACAUCUUGACCCCUAAUAUUUUGUAAAUUACACUUGGGCCCCUAAACUUUCUAGAAAUUACACUUUAGCCCUAUAUUUUCCUAAAAUUGCAUUUUUACCCCAGAAACUUUACGCCCUCUACAAUUUAGUCCUUCUAGACUUGUCAAAUCACCCAAUCGGCAGCCGAGCUACUCCAGCAGCCUCCUAGGCCAUGAUUGCUCCACUGCCACCUGCAAACAAAGAGGAAGAAGACAAAAUUGGGGGGUUAAAAAAAGAAAAAUUGAAGAGAAGAAAUGGGAGGGCAAGCAAUCAAAAAAAGAGCAAACAACAGAAGCAAAAAAAUUUCAAAACAGCAGCAGCUCCUUCCGUCGCACCAGCGCCACCGUGCCCACCACCGCAGCACCACCAUCGCCUACACUUAGCAAAGCAACCAAGAAUCCAAAAAAAACAAGCAAAAUCUAAAAGAAAAAAGAGGGAAAACCCAAA
RNAcentral lists this long non-coding RNA (623 nucleotides) under Gossypium raimondii (Peruvian cotton). RNAcentral describes it as "long non-coding RNA (GRAI_LNC003448)". Lineage: Eukaryota; Viridiplantae; Streptophyta; Magnoliopsida; Malvales; Malvaceae. The record is from RNAcentral.